ACACAUGCAAGUCGAACGAGAAUCUACUGAAGGAGGAUUCGUCCAACGGAUGUAGAGGAAAGUGGCGGACGGGUGAGUAACGCGUGAGGAACCUGCCUUGAAGAGGGGGACAACAGUUGGAAACGACUGCUAAUACCGCAUGAAGCAUAGGGGUCGCAUGAUCUUUAUGCCAAAGAUUUAUCGCUUCAAGAUGGCCUCGCGUCUGAUUAGCUAGUUGGCGGGGUAACGGCCCACCAAGGCGACGAUCAGUAGCCGGACUGAGAGGUUGAACGGCCACAUUGGGACUGAGAUACGGCCCAGACUCCUACGGGAGGCAGCAGUGGGGAAUAUUGGGCAAUGGGCGCAAGCCUGACCCAGCAACGCCGCGUGAAGGAAGAAGGCUUUCGGGUUGUAAACUUCUUUUAAGAGGGAAGAGCAGAAGACGGUACCUCUAGAAUAAGCCACGGCUAACUACGUGCCAGCAGCCGCGGUAAUACGUAGGUGGCAAGCGUUGUCCGGAUUUACUGGGUGUAAAGGGCGUGCAGCCGGGUCUGCAAGUCAGAUGUGAAAUCCAUGGGCUCAACCCAUGAACUGCAUUUGAAACUGUAGAUCUUGAGUGUCGGAGGGGCAAUCGGAAUUCCUAGUGUAGCGGUGAAAUGCGUAGAUAUUAGGAGAAACACCAGUGGCGAAGGCGGAUUGCUGGACGAUAACUGACGGUGAGGCGCGAAAGUGUGGGGAGCAAACAGGAUUAGAUACCCUGGUAGUCCACACUGUAAACGAUGAAUACUAGG
Molecule: ribosomal RNA, 770 nt
Filed under: uncultured bacterium
Lineage: Bacteria
Description: bacterial SSU rRNA
Rfam family: Bacterial small subunit ribosomal RNA
Source: RNAcentral